UACGGGGGGGGCAAGCGUUGUUCGGAAUCACUGGGCGUAAAGGGCGCGUAGGCGGGGAGGUAAGUCGGGUGUGAAAUCCCUCGGCCCAACCGAGGAACUGCGCCCGAGACUGCUUCUCUUGAGUCCCGGAGAGGAAGGUGGAAUUCCCGGUGUAGCGGUGAAAUGUGUAGAGAUCGGGAGGAACACCGGUGGCGAAGGCGGCCUUCUGGACGGUGACUGACGCUGAGGCGCGAAAGCGUGGGGAGCAAACGGG
RNAcentral lists this ribosomal RNA (253 nucleotides) under uncultured bacterium. RNAcentral's name for it is "partial 16S ribosomal RNA". It matches the Rfam family "Bacterial small subunit ribosomal RNA", at positions 524 to 776 of the family's 1533-position model. The record is from RNAcentral.